This 810-nucleotide ribosomal RNA is filed under the name uncultured fungus. RNAcentral's name for it is "eukaryotic LSU rRNA". It matches the Rfam family "Eukaryotic large subunit ribosomal RNA", at positions 30 to 821 of the family's 3401-position model. The record is from RNAcentral. Lineage: Eukaryota; Fungi.
GAACUUAAGCAUAUCAAUAAGCGGAGGAAAAGAAACUAACAAGGAUUCCCCUAGUAACUGCGAGUGAAGCGGGAAAAGCUCAAAUUUAAAAUCUGGCGGUCCCUGUGGCCGUCCGAGUUGUAAUUUAGAGAAGCGUUAUCCGCGCUGGACCGUGUACAAGUCUCCUGGAAUGGAGCGUCAUAGAGGGUGAGAAUCCCGUCUUUGACACGGACUGCCAGGGCAUUGUGAUGCGCUCUCGAAGAGUCGAGUUGUUUGGGAAUGCAGCUCAAAAUGGGUGGUAAAUUCCAUCUAAAGCUAAAUAUUGGGGAGAGACCGAUAGCGAACAAGUACCGUGAGGGAAAGAUGAAAAGAACUUUGGAAAGAGAGUUAAACAGUACGUGAAAUUGCUGAAAGGGAAACGCUUGAAGUCAGUCGCGUCGCUCAGGACUCAGCCUUGCUUUUUUGCUUGGUGUACUUCCUGUUCGACGGGUCAGCAUCAAUUUUGGUCGGUAGAUAAAGGCUCAGAGAAUGUGGCAUCUUCGGGUGUGUUAUAGCUCUGGGUCGCAUGCAUCGGCUGGGAUUGAGGAACUCAGCACGCCGCAAGGCCGGGCACUUGUGCCACGUACGUGCUUAGGAUGCUGGCAUAAUGGCUUUAAUCGACCCGUCUUGAAACACGGACCAAGGAGUCUAACAUGCCUGCGAGUGUUUGGGUGGUAAACCCGAGCGCGUAAUGAAAGUGAAAGUUGAGAUCCCUGUCGCGGGGAGCAUCGACGCCCGGAGCAGACCUUCUGUGACGCAUCCGCGGUAGAGCAUGUAUGUUGGGACCCGAAA